AUAGGGUUUGGAACGCGAAGAGCACCGCACUUACGGCGGUGUCCGGAUCUUCCCCUCGGACCUUGAAAAUCCGGGCGAGGGCCACGAGGAACACCGCGCCGGCUCGUACCCAUAUCCGCAGCAGGUCUCCAAGGUGAAUAGCCUCUAGUCGAUAGAAUAAUGUAGGUAAGGGAAGUCGGCAAACCCGAUCUGUAACUUCGGGAUAAGGAUUGGCUCUGAGGAUCGUGGCGCGCCGGGCUUGGUCGGGAAGUGGAGCGGUGCCAACGUGCCGGGCCUGGGCGAGGUGAAGGACGCUCGUCGUC
Molecule: ribosomal RNA, 302 nt
Filed under: Merocoris typhaeus
Lineage: Eukaryota; Metazoa; Arthropoda; Insecta; Hemiptera; Coreidae
Description: partial large subunit ribosomal RNA
Rfam family: Eukaryotic large subunit ribosomal RNA
Source: RNAcentral